Non-coding RNA from Gossypium hirsutum (cotton), 79 nucleotides. NCBI's taxonomy places the organism in Eukaryota, Viridiplantae, Streptophyta, Magnoliopsida, Malvales, Malvaceae. The record is from Rfam.
CACGUCAGCGCGACGUGGCAGCAAAUCGCGUCCUUGAGGGCGCGAUUUGUUGCCAUGUCAGCAACUCGCGUUGACGUGG